Long non-coding RNA from Vespa velutina, 1971 nucleotides. RefSeq lists it as uncharacterized. NCBI's taxonomy places the organism in Eukaryota, Metazoa, Arthropoda, Insecta, Hymenoptera, Vespidae. The transcript has 4 exons. The record is from RefSeq and is a predicted model, not a curated record.
ACUACAUUUCUAAAUAACAUUUGUUAAAAAGACAAUUUUUUAGACCUAUUAUAUUGUACCCUAAAUAUUUGUAUCGAUCAUCAAUUAUUUUGACCGGUCACAACUGUACUAUUCUUAUUUGUUUUCGUCUUUGAUGAAACUAUAGAUUUUAAAUGAACAAGCUUAUGUUUAUACACUUCGGGUAACAAAGCAGAUAAAGCUAUAUGAGUAAUAGCAGCGGUAAGACCCCAAACACGAUGUUUACCACCAAGAUAAGCAGGCAAUGUGUAGCUAUCGCGAAAUUGUGUAAAACGACAUAAGGAUGGAUUGCAAAAAUCAUUUAGAUAUAUAAUGAAAGCUUCCUCGACUUCAUCGGGAUUCCUUUCUAGUUUUUCCGGAUCUAUUUCACCUAUGUAACCUAAUACCGGCAUUAUGUUUAUAUUUUUUCCAUUGAUUAAAUUGCCACAAGUCCAUAUGUCAAUCUUUUUUCUAGGUAUUUUUAAUUCUUCCCAAGUUUCUCUUAACGCAGUUUCUUCUAGGUCACGAUCAGUUUUAUCGUACAUUCCACCUGGGAAAGAGACUUGUCCUCGAUUUGAAUUCAAUUUUGAAGAUCUCAAGGUGUAAAGAAUUCCAACUUCGCCUUUAUACAUGCAGAUUGGUAUAAAGCACUUCUUCUGGUUUUAAUUUGACUGCGUCAAUCUUACUAAAACUCCGUUGGAAAUUCGCGGACUUAAUCAUAAAAAGCAAGAAUAGAAGAGAUUUUUUAAAAUGAUAUAAUAAUGUAAAAGGCAUUAUCGAAUUAGGCAUUAUCGAAUAUUUUGGCUUUGGAAAAAAAAAAGAAAAAGAAAAAGAAAAAGAUAAAAGUUUGUUUCCAGAACGAGAAUGUCGAUGAAGAAAAAUAAUAUCGGCUGAGCAUAUUUUGUUUCUUGUAAUCGAACGAAGAUAUACGAAUAUUUCCGAAAAGAAAUGACUACAACGCCCUCGUACGAAUCAUUAAUGAAGUAAUAUCAUCAUCUCGACACGUGAUAGAUAUUAUUCUGAAUAGGAAUAAAGUACUUACUAGAACUGAUAUUUGUAAAUUUCUUGACAAGAUUCGUAACUUAGCCAUUUCCAUUGUUUUUCUUAUAUGUUAAAAGUAUUAAAAUAUUAAACUAUUUUUUAGAAGAUUAUUAUUACUUGAUCGUAACUUGUGAAGUUUUUUUAACAGCUGCUAGAUGACGGCUAAAUCGAUACGAUUUGACAAUUCGUACGACAGUAGAUAACUAAAUUCCCCGAAAUAUUGUAGGAUUGAAAUAUUUUAAGUUUUAUAUCCGUUACUUUCAGAAUAAUUUUUAAUUCAAAAUAUUAUUUACAAUGAUCAAAAAAAGAAAAAAGAAAUUGACAAAAGAAAAUGAAAUUGUUUUUUCUUUUUCUUUUCUUUUAUAUAUAUACAAGAGAGAAGACCCAAUUUUUCUUCGUUUUCAUAGUUGAAAGUUUGAGUUAUUUUGUUCGACAACGGGAUUGGUGGAAAAUAAGCUGCGCAAUUGUCAAUCUAGUAAAUCCAACACCGGAAAAAUCUUUUGCGAAGAUUCAAUGGAUUGAUUGAUUGGUUUUCAAAAAAUUUGUCCGAUACACUUCAAUUGAUUUUUAGAUAAAGUAAGUAUGUUAGCGAAACAGGUACUUCUAUUCGAACAAUCCAAUUAUUAUCUCUUUGAAGUAGAUACGUAAAUUUUUAAUGUUUAAUCAUACCAUUGGACAUUGAAUGAUAUGGCUAUGUCCUUGGGGCUAUUAAAAUCUCUAACGGAUGAAUUUUCAAUUUAGUUACUAAAAUAGUUUUUUGGAAAAGUUAGGAAAAUGACAAUAAUUCGUGGCUUGUCUGUCAUAAUUUCUAUUAAUAAAUGUACUGCUUCUGUUCAUUAUAAUAAACUCUUGUUCAUCUAACUGUACUUGGCUAAAUCUUUUAUUAAGAAUUGCAAUUCUGUACAUAAUAAAUAAGUUUUUUCUUUCGCUGUA